GGCCUGGUAGCCAAGUGGUAAGGCGUCUCUCUGCAAAAGAGAUAUGCGCGGGUUCAAUUCCCGCCCAGGCCU
Molecule: transfer RNA, 72 nt
Filed under: bacterium
Lineage: Bacteria
Description: tRNA-Cys
Rfam family: tRNA
About the family: Transfer RNA (tRNA) molecules are approximately 80 nucleotides in length. Their secondary structure includes four short double-helical elements and three loops (D, anti-codon, and T loops).
Source: RNAcentral